RNAcentral lists this ribosomal RNA (442 nucleotides) under uncultured bacterium. RNAcentral's name for it is "partial 16S ribosomal RNA". It matches the Rfam family "Bacterial small subunit ribosomal RNA", at positions 338 to 795 of the family's 1533-position model. The record is from RNAcentral.
CCUACGGGAGGCAGCAGUGGGGAAUAUUGGGCAAUGGACGCAAGUCUGACCCAGCAACGCCGCGUGAAGGAAGAAGGCUUUCGGGUUGUAAACCUCUUUUAAGGGGGAAGAGCAGAAGACGGUACCCCUUGAAUAAGCCACGGCUAACUACGUGCCAGCAGCCGCGGUAAUACGUAGGUGGCAAGUGUUGUCCGGAUUUACUGGGUGUAAAGGGCGUGCAGCCGGGGAGACAAGUCAGAUGUGAAAUCCGCGGGCUCAACCCGCGAACUGCAUUUGAAACUGUGUGCCUUGAGUGUCGGAGAGGUCAGCGGAAUUCCUAGUGUAGCGGUGAAAUGCGUAGAUAUUAGGAAGAACACCAGUGGCGAAGGCGGAUGACUGGACGACAACUGACGGUGAGGCGCGAAAGCGUGGGGAGCAAACAGGAUUAGAUACCCGAGUAGUC